This is a long non-coding RNA of Oncorhynchus keta (chum salmon), 929 nucleotides long. RefSeq lists it as uncharacterized. The record is from RefSeq and is a predicted model, not a curated record. Lineage: Eukaryota; Metazoa; Chordata; Actinopteri; Salmoniformes; Salmonidae. The transcript has 3 exons.
CGUCUGAACGGCGUCAGUGUCGGUCCUGCUUAAUGAAGUAUAGCCUAUGUGUAUCUUUUUAUACGUAGAAUAACAAGACAGCCAAAAUUCGUCGGCCCGCGCUUACUGGGGUAGCCUACCAUGUUGGCCUCCAUGUGGCAGGCUCACUGUUUGGUAGGAAAGAAAAGGCAGUUGCAUUGGCUUUAUUCGUGCUGAUUCCUGUGAUUAAUCAAUUUGGCGACCCAACUUUAUCGGUACCAGUUAUCCUGAGACCAUUUGCAAUUGUUUUACACAAUGGGGAAUGCAGAAGUGUAUAUAGCUUUCCCCUAUGCUCAGCUUGUAAAAAAAUGUAUGGGUACAAACGCGAAACCACUGAUCGUGACAAUAUAGGCCACGGGAUGAAACUCCCGGACAGCAGUUGUAUUCAAUCCCUUUUCCAACACCCAGCCUGGCCUGCCACACUGAAAGCCCAGCACCAGAAUCAUCAUGGUCUAUCUCUAUGGAGAGGCCUGAGGGGCGAUGGGAACCAAAGACAGAUGGCCUGAAGCACUGAGAGGAGCUACAAAGGGGCUGUCAUUCACAACCAGUCUCAUAGAUCUCACCUGGGAGAAAUAUGAAACACCAAGACAAAAUCCAAGUUCAUACCCCAACUGCUGCCCAUGACCUUUUCUGCUACAAGCAGAAAGAAGGUAUGAUCAUUAUCUUAUUUCGUACAGUGUGAGUUUUUAAAUGGUUCUCAAUUAUGUUCAUUUACCAAAACCCUGGAAUUCCCUCUGGAUGAGGGAACUAUGUUUACGUUCACUUUUGAUUGUGCUCAUGCAAUGGUUGGAGUGAUACGACUGAACUGGAGUGACAUGCUCGUUAUAUUUCUUAAUUAGGCAUGAUCAAAGCCAUGCUAAUGAUGUACCCAGGGUCCUAACAUGAACACGUGUGUGUGUGUGUGUGUGUGU